RNAcentral lists this unclassified non-coding RNA (264 nucleotides) under Hevea brasiliensis (rubber tree). The record is from RNAcentral. Lineage: Eukaryota; Viridiplantae; Streptophyta; Magnoliopsida; Malpighiales; Euphorbiaceae.
GAAGAAACAUAAGAGCACUGAUAUUUGUGGUGGAAGAAAAGGAUGAUGAUUGUUGUUGUAGGUGAAUGUAGUGUUCCUACCACUUUUGAGAUGAGUAUCUAUCUCAACAGUCAACACUUGAGUAUCUCAAUAAUCUGGAGAUUUCUGAUUCUUUCUCCCUGUUGUUUCAAUUUUCAAGCGCCAUAAGCUAGUCAGCCUAAAUUGGUAACUCGGGGAAUGUGGGAGGAAUGAUGUGGUUACCAAUUUAGGCUGACUAGCUUAUGG